RNAcentral lists this ribosomal RNA (114 nucleotides) under Acanthosepion pharaonis. Lineage: Eukaryota; Metazoa; Mollusca; Cephalopoda; Sepiida; Sepiidae. The record is from RNAcentral.
UACGGUCAAAUCACGCUGAAAACACCGGUUCUCGUGCGAUCACCGAAGUUAAGCAUCGUAGAGCCAGGUCAGUACUUAGAUGGGGGACCGCUUGGGAAUACCUGGUACUGUAAG